Molecule: ribosomal RNA, 1288 nt
Filed under: uncultured prokaryote
Description: partial 16S ribosomal RNA
Rfam family: Bacterial small subunit ribosomal RNA
Source: RNAcentral
UUUAUGCGCCAAUGGAUGAGCCCGCACUUGAUUAGUUUGUUGGUGGGGUAAUGGCCUACCAAGACAAUGAUCUAUAGCUGGUUUGAGAGAAUGACCAGCCACACUGGGACUGAGACACGGACCAGACUCCUACGGGAGGCAGCAGUGAGGAAUAUUGGUCAAUGGACGAAAGUCUGAACCAGCCAUGCCGCGUGUAGGAUGACGGCCCUACGGGUUGUAAACUUCUUUUAUAUAAGAAGAAACCUUGGUACGUGUACCAACUUGACGGUAUUGUAAGAAUAAGCACCGGCUAACUCCGUGCAAGCAGCCGCGGUAAUACGGAGGAUGCAAGCGUUAUCCGGAUUUAUUGGGUUUAAAGGGUUCGUAGGCGGAAAAUUAAGUCAGUGGUGAAAGCCUGUAGCUCAACUAUAGAACUGCCAUUGAUACUGAUAUUCUUGAGUAUAGAUGAAGUGGGCGGAAUAUGUCAUGUAGCGGUGAAAUGCAUAGAUAUGACAUGGAACACCAAUUGCGAAGGCAGCUCACUAAACUAUUACUGACGCUCAUGAACGAAAGCAUGGGGAGCGAACAGGAUUAGAUACCCUGGUAGUCCAUGCCGUAAACUAUGAUCACUAGAUGUUGGCGAUAUAUUGUCAGUGUUUUAGAGAAAUCGAUAAGUGAUCCACCUGGGGAGUACGUUCGCAAGAAUGAAACUCAAAGGAAUUGACGGGGGCCCGCACAAGCGGUGGAGCAUGUGGUUUAAUUCGAUGAUACGCGAGGAACCUUACCAAGGCUUAAAUGUAAAACGACCGAUUGAGAAAUCAAUCUUUUUUCGAACGAUUUACAAGGUGCUGCAUGGUUGUCGUCAGCUCGUGCCGUGAGGUGUCGGGUUAAGUCCCAUAACGAGCGCAACCCUUGUCCCUAGUUGCCAGCACGUAAUGGUGGGAACUCUAGGGAGACUGCCGGUGACAAACCGGAGGAAGGUGGGGACGACGUCAAGUCAUCAUGGCCCUUAUGGGCAGGGCUACACACGUGCUACAAUGGCGAAUACAGAGGGUUGCCAACUAGCAAUAGUAAGCUAAUCCCUUAAAGCUCGUCGUAGUCCGGAUCGGAGUCUGCAACUCGACUCCGUGAAGUCGGAAUCGCUAGUAAUCGCGAAUCAGAACGUCGCGGUGAAUACGUUCCCGGGUCUUGUACACACCGCCCGUCACACCAUGGAAGUAGGUUGUACCAGAAGUAGGUAGCUUAACCCUCGGGAGGGCGCUUACCACGGUGUGGCUUAUGACUGGGGUGAAGUCGUAACAAGGUAACC